CCUACGGGAGGCAGCAGUAGGGAAUUUUCGUCAAUGGGCGCAAGCCUGAACGAGCAAUGCCGCGUGAACGAGGAAGGUCUUCGGAUCGUAAAGUUCUGUUGAAGGGGAAAAAGAGCGGAGAGAGGAAAUGAACUCCGAUUGAUAUUACCCUUCGAGGAAGUCACGGCUAACUACGUGCCAGCAGCCGCGGUAAUACGUAGGUGGCAAGCGUUAUCCGGAUUUAUUGGGUGUAAAGGGCGUGUAGGCGGGAGCGCAAGUCAGAUGUGAAAACUCAGGGCUCAACCCUGAGCCUGCAUUUGAAACUG
Molecule: ribosomal RNA, 305 nt
Filed under: uncultured bacterium
Lineage: Bacteria
Description: bacterial SSU rRNA
Rfam family: Bacterial small subunit ribosomal RNA
Source: RNAcentral